This is a long non-coding RNA of Salvelinus sp. IW2-2015, 464 nucleotides long. RefSeq lists it as uncharacterized. Lineage: Eukaryota; Metazoa; Chordata; Actinopteri; Salmoniformes; Salmonidae. The record is from RefSeq and is a predicted model, not a curated record.
CACGUUGCGCUGCGGCACUGAACGAACAGACCUCCAAGCAGCAGCAGUCUACUCUCCUCUACACGGAAGACAACACCUGCCCUUAACGUAUUUAACUAGAUAACUACAAUAUUAUCAGGAUGCCUCACCAGUACCCAGCUCUGACCACAGAACAGAAGAAGGAGCUGCAGGAGAUAGCAGAGAGGAUCACGGCUCCGGGAAAGGAAUCCUGGCUGCAGAUGAGUCCACCGGCAGCAUGGGUAAGCGUCUACCCCAUCGGGGUAGAGAACACAGAGAGAACGUCGUCUGUAUCGCCAGCUGCUGUUCAGGCCGAUGAGAGAUGGACGCUUGUAUUGGGGGAGUGAUUUUCUUCCACGAGCACUCUCUACCAGAACACUGAUGACGGGACCAACUUCUCCCAGCUCAUCAAGGACAGGGGGAUUGUAGUGGGCAUCAAGGUAGGGACACACACACAUUAGCAGACA